Molecule: ribosomal RNA, 253 nt
Filed under: uncultured bacterium
Lineage: Bacteria
Description: partial 16S ribosomal RNA
Rfam family: Bacterial small subunit ribosomal RNA
Source: RNAcentral
UACGUAGGGUGCAAGCGUUGUCCGGAAUUAUUGGGCGUAAAGAGCUCGUAGGCGGUUUGUUGCGUCGGCUGUGAAAUCCCGAGGCUCAACCUCGGGUCUGCAGUCGAUACGAGCAAACUAGAGUGUUGCAGGGGAGACUGGAAUUCCUGGUGUAGCGGUGAAAUGCGUAGAUAUCUGGAGGAAUACCGGUGGCGAAGGCGGCAUCCUGGACCGACAUUGACGCUGAGGAGCGAAAGCUAGGGGAGCAAACGGG